This 1218-nucleotide ribosomal RNA is filed under the name Escherichia coli. RNAcentral's name for it is "partial 23S ribosomal RNA". It matches the Rfam family "Bacterial large subunit ribosomal RNA", at positions 296 to 1528 of the family's 2925-position model. The record is from RNAcentral. Lineage: Bacteria; Pseudomonadati; Pseudomonadota; Gammaproteobacteria; Enterobacterales; Enterobacteriaceae.
AGCCCAGAGCCUGAAUCAGUGUGUGUGUUAGUGGAAGCGUCUGGAAAGGCGCGCGAUACAGGGUGACAGCCCCGUACACAAAAAUGCACAUAUUGUGAGCUCGAUGAGUAGGGCGGGACACGUGGUAUCCUGUCUGAAUAUGGGGGGACCAUCCUCCAAGGCUAAAUACUCCUGACUGACCGAUAGUGAACCAGUACCGUGAGGGAAAGGCGAAAAGAACCCCGGCGAGGGGAGUGAAAAAGAACCUGAAACCGUGUACGUACAAGCAGUGGGAGCCUCUUUUAUGGGGUGACUGCGUACCUUUUGUAUAAUGGGUCAGCGACUUAUAUUCUGUAGCAAGGUUAACCGAAUAGGGGAGCCGAAGGGAAACCGAGUCUUAACUGGGCGUUAAGUUGCAGGGUAUAGACCCGAAACCCGGUGAUCUAGCCAUGGGCAGGUUGAAGGUUGGGUAACACUAACUGGAGGACCGAACCGACUAAUGUUGAAAAAUUAGCGGAUGACUUGUGGCUGGGGGUGAAAGGCCAAUCAAACCGGGAGAUAGCUGGUUCUCCCCGAAAGCUAUUUAGGUAGCGCCUCGUGAAUUCAUCUCCGGGGGUAGAGCACUGUUUCGGCAAGGGGGUCAUCCCGACUUACCAACCCGAUGCAAACUGCGAAUACCGGAGAAUGUUAUCACGGGAGACACACGGCGGGUGCUAACGUCCGUCGUGAAGAGGGAAACAACCCAGACCGCCAGCUAAGGUCCCAAAGUCAUGGUUAAGUGGGAAACGAUGUGGGAAGGCCCAGACAGCCAGGAUGUUGGCUUAGAAGCAGCCAUCAUUUAAAGAAAGCGUAAUAGCUCACUGGUCGAGUCGGCCUGCGCGGAAGAUGUAACGGGGCUAAACCAUGCACCGAAGCUGCGGCAGCGACACUAUGUGUUGUUGGGUAGGGGAGCGUUCUGUAAGCCUGUGAAGGUGUGCUGUGAGGCAUGCUGGAGGUAUCAGAAGUGCGAAUGCUGACAUAAGUAACGAUAAAGCGGGUGAAAAGCCCGCUCGCCGGAAGACCAAGGGUUCCUGUCCAACGUUAAUCGGGGCAGGGUGAGUCGACCCCUAAGGCGAGGCCGAAAGGCGUAGUCGAUGGGAAACAGGUUAAUAUUCCUGUACUUGGUGUUACUGCGAAGGGGGGACGGAGAAGGCUAUGUUGGCCGGGCGACGGUUGUCCCGGUUUAAGCGUGUAGGCUGG